Oryctolagus cuniculus (rabbit) is the source of this 1928-nucleotide long non-coding RNA. RefSeq lists it as uncharacterized. Lineage: Eukaryota; Metazoa; Chordata; Mammalia; Lagomorpha; Leporidae. The record is from RefSeq and is a predicted model, not a curated record.
GUUCUGAAGGUUGGGGUUGACACUGCGGAUGGCACGCAUGUAUGCCUUUAGCAGCUGGAUGUCUCGCUUCUGUUGGAGGCAAGAAGAACCAAGGAUGAUCGUUACGGCAGACAACAGAGGCAGAGCCACGAAGAGACAGAUUUCCCAUGUAUCCCAUACGGGCACCGGUUCGAGGCCAGGCUGCUCCACUUCCGAUCCAGUUCCCUGCUAAUGCACCUGGGAAAGCAGCAGAGAAUGGCCUGAGUACUAUAGCAGGGUAGGAGACCUGGAUGAAGCUGGCUUCUGUCUUCCGUGUGGCCCAGCCCUGGCAAUUGUGGGAGUGAACCAGCAGAUGGAAGAUCUCUGUCUCUCCUCUUCUCUCUAUAACUCGACAUUUCAAAUAAAUAAAUCUUUUUUUUUUUUUUUUACAAAAAGAAAAGUCCUAGGAAGUAAGUAUAGUUUUUAUCCUCAGUUUACAGACCAAAAAACAGAUGCCCAAGAGGUCCUGUAACUUGACUAAGGUCACAGAGCUACAAACAAGAGGCAGAUGAACCCAGGCCAGCGAGGUCCUGGAAGCUGCUUAAGCCACAAUGACUCUUCAUAUAUCACUAAGCCAGCAAACACUUGGCAACAGAAGAACUUCCUACAAAAAGUUAACAAACUGUCCCUAAGACUUCUGGCACUGCUCAAGUUUAGGUUGGAAUCGCAUUUGAUGAUAAUCAAGUCCCUCCCACUGGUUCUGCCUGGCUCCCCACCCCUCUGCCCUCCUGCUGCUUGUGUCCUUCCCGGGUCAUUUGUUUGGUUCAGAAAUGGUGCCCCCUCUAGAGCACUCACUUUUCCUGGAAGAUCAAUGCCCUUUCUCCUCCCGCCUUGAACAUACGCUAACGGAGUGCCAGCCCUAAGGUUUCCUCUCUGGCUGCAGCCCUCACACCCCCUUCCCUGAGCACCCUAUAUUCACAUGUGGAAUAAGCUGACAUCAUUUUCUUUGUUUCUGCCUUCUGUCUUAAAAAUAAAGGCAACUUGAGGUCAGAACUCAUUCCAUCUUGCUAUUUUUAGCAUUGUGGUAUGUAAGAAAUAUUUAAACAAUAUUUUACUUAAAUUUCAAUUUCCUAACCUCCACAUAGCAUUGACAUAUAUUUAUUUAGUAUCAAAUUAUAGAAAUAGUCUAAAAAAUAUGGGGCAGGCUAUUGGCUCAGCAGUUGAGACACCACUUGGGAUGCCAGCAUCCUUUGUCAGAAAGCCUGCAAACCAAUUUCCUGCUAAUGUGCUCCCUGAGAGGCAACAGACGGUGACCCAACUACUUGGUUCCCUGCUACCCAUAUAGGAGACCCAAACGAAGUUAUAGGGUGGUAGCUUCUGCUUGGCCCAGCCCUGGCUGUUGUGGGCAUUUGGGGAGUGACCCAGCAGAUGAAGAUCUCUCUUUCUCUAUCUACUUUAAAUGAAAAUUAAAAAAAGAAGACUAUAAAACAGCAACAAAAACAGAAGAUCAACUGGAGACAGGAGAAUGUUCUGGAGCAAAGAGGUUCAUGAAAGUCAAAGGAAGGGGCCAGCUCUGUGGCAUAGUGGGUAAAGCCACCACCUGCACUGCCGACAGACCAUACGAGUGCCGGUUCAAGUUCCAGCUGCUCCAUUUCUGAUCUGACUCUCCGCUAUGGCCUGGGAAAGGCAGUAAAGGAUGGCUCAAGUCCUUGGACCCCUGCAUCCGUAUGGGAGACCCAGAAGAAGCUCCCGGCUCCUGGCUUCAGCUCGGCCCAGCCCUGCCAUUGCUGACAUUUGGGGAGUGAACUAGUGAAUGGAAGACUUAUCUCUCUCUCUGCCUCUGCCUCUCAAAAAAAAAAAAAAAAAAAUCUUUAAAAGAACAACAACAAAAAACAAAGGUGAAAGGAGUUAUAGAAAGACAGAGAGAAGUGAGAGUUUUGUUUCACAGAUACAGAGUUUAAGUCUUGCAA